Molecule: ribosomal RNA, 505 nt
Filed under: uncultured bacterium
Lineage: Bacteria
Description: partial 16S ribosomal RNA
Rfam family: Bacterial small subunit ribosomal RNA
Source: RNAcentral
GACGAACGCUGGCGGCGUGCCUAAUACAUGCAAGUAGGACGCACAGUCUAUACCGUAGCUUGCUACACCAUAGGCUGUGAGUUGCGAACGGGUGAGUAACGCGUAGGUAACCUGCCUAUUAGAGGGGGAUAACUAUUGGAAACGAUAGCUAAUACCGCAUAACAGUAUGUAACACAUGUUAGAUGCUUGAAAGAUGCAAUUGCAUCGCUAGUAGAUGGACCUGCGUUGUAUUAGCUAGUAGGUAGGGUAAUGGCCUACCUAGGCGACGAUACAUAGCCGACCUGAGAGGGUGAUCGGCCACACUGGGACUGAGACACGGCCCAGACUCCUACGGGAGGCAGCAGUAGGGAAUCUUCGGCAAUGGGGGGAACCCUGACCGAGCAACGCCGCGUGAGUGAAGAAGGGUUUCGGAUCGUAAAGCUCUGUUGUUAAGGAAGAACGAGUGUGAGAAUGGAAAGUUCAUACUGUGACGGUACUUAACCAGAAAGGGACGGCUAACUACGUG